CUGAGUACGGCGGAACACGUGAAAUUCCGUCGGAAUCCGGGAGGACCAUCUCCCAAGGCUAAAUACUCCCUAGUGACCGAUAGUGAACCAGUACCGUGAGGGAAAGGUGAAAAGCACCCCGGAAGGGGAGUGAAACAGUUCCUGAAACCGUGUGCCUACAAGUAGUUAGAGCCCGUUAAUGGGUGAUAGCGUGCCUUUUGUAGAAUGAACCGGCGAGUUACGAUUUGUUGCAAGGUUAAGCGGAAAAAGCGGAGCCGUAGCGAAAGCGAGUCUGAAUAGGGCGCAUAAGUAACAGGUCGUAGACCCGAAACCAGGUGAUCUACCCAUGUCCAGGAUGAAGGUAAGGUAAUACUUACUGGAGGUCCGAACCCACGCACGUUGAAAAGUGCGGGGAUGAGGUGUGGGUAGCGGAGAAAUUCCAAUCGAACUUGGAGAUAGCUGGUUCUCUCCGAAAUAGCUUUAGGGCUAGCCUCGAGGUAAAGAGUCAUGGAGGUAGAGCACUGUUUGGACUAGGGGCCCUUCUCGGGUUACCGAAUUCAGAUAAACUCCGAAUGCCAUGUACUUAUACUCGGGAGUCAGACUGCGAGUGAUAAGAUCCGUAGUCGAAAGGGAAACAGCCCAGACCACCAGUUAAGGUCCCCAAAUAUAUGUUAAGUGGAAAAGGAUGUGGGGUUGCUUAGACAACCAGGAUGUUGGCUUAGAAGCAGCCACCAUUGAAAGAGUGCGUAAUAGCUCACUGGUCGAGUGACCCCGCGCCGAAAAUGUACCGGGGCUAAACAUAUUACCGAAACUGUGGAUGAACCUCUUUAGAGGUUCGUGGUAGGAGAGCGUUCUAAGGGCGGUGAAGUCAGACCGGAAGGACUGGUGGAGCGCUUAGAAGUGAGAAUGCCGGUAUGAGUAGCGAAAGAAGGGUGAGAAUCCCUUCCACCGAAUAUCUAAGGUUUCCUGAGGAAGGCUCGUCCGCUCAGGGUUAGUCGGGACCUAAGCCGAGGCCGAUAGGCGUAGGCGAUGGACAACAGGUAGAGAUUCCUGUACCAGUGCUAAUUGUUUAACCGAUGGGGUGACACAGAAGGAUAGG
RNAcentral lists this ribosomal RNA (1078 nucleotides) under Listeria monocytogenes. RNAcentral's name for it is "bacterial LSU rRNA". It matches the Rfam family "Bacterial large subunit ribosomal RNA", at positions 408 to 1486 of the family's 2925-position model. Lineage: Bacteria; Bacillati; Bacillota; Bacilli; Caryophanales; Listeriaceae. The record is from RNAcentral.